This 228-nucleotide long non-coding RNA is filed under the name Panax ginseng (ginseng). RNAcentral's name for it is "long non-coding RNA (PGIN_LNC012219)". The record is from RNAcentral. Lineage: Eukaryota; Viridiplantae; Streptophyta; Magnoliopsida; Apiales; Araliaceae.
UUCUACAACGACUCAACAGUUGCGAAGUAAGCUGGAGCAAUAAUAACAACAUAUCACUUCUAUAUAAAAUUUUUGAAACUACGUACUGACUAUAACUGGAGAUCAGUCAACAGACAAUGAACAUUGUUUUCUAUUUUCGAAAAUGUUAAACAGAACUUCUUCUGUAAACCGUCAUAACUUACAAGCACGGGGGGUGAUCAGCCCGUUAUGUCCUGUAUUGAUCAAUAC